This 505-nucleotide ribosomal RNA is filed under the name uncultured bacterium. RNAcentral describes it as "partial 16S ribosomal RNA". It matches the Rfam family "Bacterial small subunit ribosomal RNA", at positions 28 to 507 of the family's 1533-position model. The record is from RNAcentral.
GACGAACGCUGGCGGUGUGCCUAAUACAUGCAAGUAGAACGCACAGUUUAUACCGUAGCUUGCUACACCAUAGACUGUGAGUUGCGAACGGGUGAGUAACGCGUAGGUAACCUGCCUGGUAGCGGGGGAUAACUAUUGGAAACGAUAGCUAAUACCGCAUAAUAUUGAUUAUUGCAUGAUAAUUGAUUGAAAGAUGCUAUUGCAUCACUACCAGAUGGACCUGCGUUGUAUUAGCUAGUAGGUGAGGUAACGGCUCACCUAGGCGACGAUACAUAGCCGACCUGAGAGGGUGAUCGGCCACACUGGGACUGAGACACGGCCCAGACUCCUACGGGAGGCAGCAGUAGGGAAUCUUCGGCAAUGGACGAAAGUCUGACCGAGCAACGCCGCGUGAGUGAAGAAGGGUUUCGGAUCGUAAAGCUCUGUUGUAAGAGAAGAACGGGUGUGAGAGUGGAAAGUUCACACUGUGACGGUAGCUUACCAGAAAGGGACGGCUAACUACGUG